RNAcentral lists this unclassified non-coding RNA (391 nucleotides) under uncultured fungus. Its description in RNAcentral is "sequence contains ITS1". The stretch from base 1 to 105 matches the Rfam family "5.8S ribosomal RNA", at positions 50 to 154 of the family's 154-position model. Lineage: Eukaryota; Fungi. The record is from RNAcentral.
GAAAUGCGAUACGUAAUGUGAAUUGCAGAAUUCCGUGAACCAUCGAAUCUUUGAACGCACAUUGCGCUCGACCCUUCGUGGGAGAGCACAUCUGCCUGAGCGACGGUUUUCCCCUCAAUCACCCUUCUCCUAGCGGGGAUCGGCCGAUUGGACCUGGCUCUCCGAGCCGCUCCGCUUCGGCGGCUGCGGCUUGGUCGGCUGAAGCGCAGACGGCUUGAGCAAGGACCCUCCGCUAAGGGGCACGGCAAGGUAGAGAGCAUCGGGCUUCGGCUCGUUCCUCCCUUACCGCCGAUCACUGCCCUGGAGGCGUCGCUAACUUGUCUCUUGCCUUUGCAGGAAAACACCUUUCAUUUUCGUCCUCAGUUCAGGUGAGAUUACCCGCUGAACUUAA